GACGAACGCUGGCGGCGUGCUUAACACAUGCAAGUCGAGCGGAGCGGCGAACGGGUGAGUAACGCGUGAGUAACUGCCCCCCUCUCUGGGAUAACAGUUGGAAACGGCUGCCAAUACCGGAUAGUGGGGGAUGACUCGCGUCCUAUCAGCUUGUUGGUGGGGUAGUGGCCUACCAAGGCGACGACGGGUAGCCGGCCUGAGAGGGCGACCGGCCCCAUUGCGCUGCGAUACGGCCCAGACUGCUACAGGAGGCAGCGGUGGCGAAUAUUGCACAAAGGGGGAGAGCCUGAAGCGGCAGGGUGCGUGCGGGAUGGCGGGCUUGGGGUUGGAAACCGAUUUAGGCCAUGAGGCGGUAGUGGCAGAAGAAGCACCGGCUAACUCCGUGCCAGCAGCCGCGGUAAUUC
Molecule: ribosomal RNA, 404 nt
Filed under: uncultured bacterium
Lineage: Bacteria
Description: partial 16S ribosomal RNA
Rfam family: Bacterial small subunit ribosomal RNA
Source: RNAcentral